AGAGCGAACGCUGGCGGCAGGCCUAAUACAUGCAAGUCGAGCGCCCUUUCGGGGGAGCGGCGGACGGGUGAGUAACGCGUGGGAAUGUGCCCUUUGGUACGGAACAACACAGGGAAACUUGUGCUAAUACCGUAUGUGCCCUUCGGGGGAAAGAUUUAUCGCCAUUGGAGCAGCCCGCGUUGGAUUAGGUAGUUGGUGAGGUAAAGGCUCACCAAGCCUACGAUCCAUAGCUGGUCUGAGAGGAUGAUCAGCCACACUGGGACUGAGACACGGCCCAGACUCCUACGGGAGGCAGCAGUAGGGAAUCUUGCGCAAUGGGCGAAAGCCUGACGCAGCCAUGCCGCGUGAAUGAUGAAGGUCUUAGGAUUGUAAAAUUCUUUCACCGGGAAGAUAAUGACGGUACCGGAGAAGAAGCCCGGCUAACUUCGUGCCAGCAGCCGC
This 441-nucleotide ribosomal RNA is filed under the name uncultured bacterium. RNAcentral describes it as "SSU rRNA". It matches the Rfam family "Bacterial small subunit ribosomal RNA", at positions 26 to 518 of the family's 1533-position model. The record is from RNAcentral.